RNAcentral lists this ribosomal RNA (690 nucleotides) under uncultured Candidatus Tremblayella sp. RNAcentral describes it as "bacterial SSU rRNA". It matches the Rfam family "Bacterial small subunit ribosomal RNA", at positions 674 to 1359 of the family's 1533-position model. The record is from RNAcentral. Lineage: Bacteria; Pseudomonadati; Pseudomonadota; Betaproteobacteria.
AGUAGCGGCGAAAUGCGUAGAUAUCUGGAGGAAUACCAAAGGCGAAGGCAGUCCCCUGGUCCGAUACUGACACUGAGGUACGAAAGCGUGGGGAGCAAACAGGAUUAGAUACCCUGGUAGUCCACGCCCUAAACGAUGUCGAUUAGCCAUUGGAAGGACCCCUUUUCCUUUCAGUGACGUAGCUAACGCGUUAAAUCGACCGCCUGGGAAGUACGACCGCAAGGUUAAAACUCAAAGGAAUUGACGGGGACCUGAACAAGCGGUGAAUGAUGUGGAUUAAUUCGAUGCUACGCGAAGAACCUUACCUACCUUUGACAUGGCCAAAGUUCUACCGAGAGGCGGAAGUACUCGUAAGAGGAUUGGCGCACAGGUGCUGCAUGGUUGUCGUCAGUUCGUGUCGUGAGAUGUUGGGUUCAGUCCCGCAACGAACGCAACCCUUAUCUUUAAUUGCUCCUAUUUUAACAGGCACUUUAAAGAAACUGCCAAUGAUAAGUUGGAGGAAGGUGGGGAUCACGUCAAGUCCGCAUGGCCUUUAUAGGUAGGGCUUCACACGUCAUACAAUGGUUAGAACAAAGAGCUGCAAAUUCGUAAGAAGGAGCCAAUCUCACAAACCUAACCUCAGUUCGAAUUGCGGUCUGCAACUCGAGCGCAUGAAGCCGGAAUCGCUAGUAAUCGUGGGUCAGAAUGCCA